GGAAAAACAGUCUGAAACAGAUAAAUAUACCACCAAGAACAUAUUAUUGGAGCUAAAUCUGCAAGUUCAUCUGAAUCCAAUAAUUCUGGGUUGAUAUGAAAUCAAGUACAUGAGAACUAUCUAAGCCUAUGUUUGGCUAAUGUUUAUUAAUGGUCUUUUGUAUGGAGAAUUGAUUAGCUCCGUUAACAGAGAAGGAUUAGCUCUAAGCAAUUUGAUUUUUCUCUUGGUCAGAAAUAUAAUUGAACCACCAAUUAUUUAAUUAUCCAAACAUUUUAAGGGUUUCACAAGUACUUCCCACUUAUCCACAACUCAUUUCAAUCUAUCUACAAUUUAAAUUGUUUAUAUGCAUUUCCCCAGACAAGCUUUAACUCUAAUUUUUAAGUUCGCAGCAACAUGUCAUCCUUUAUAUCGACAAGUUAUUUAGGAGAUCAAAUCCAAAAUUUAACAAUUAUUUUGUCAUAAUUUGGGUAACUCACUCACGGGUAAACAUAAAAAAUAAAGAAAUAACAAAAAAAUAAAUUCAUCUUCAACUGAACUCGGGAGGAAAUAUCCUAUAGGGAUUAUAGUGAUGCAUCAGCAAAAACUUACACAAUUUAGGCUGUACAACUAUGAGAAAACCUAGUUCGCGUAAAGCUUAUUUAGAGAAGCACAACCAACAUUCUCACUGUUAAUACAUAAUUUGGUUGGUGGUUCUAAUAAUAAUAGCGUGUUCUGCAAGUCAGAAUCUGAAUUGAAAAUAAUGACGAACACAAUUGCCUGCAGAAAGCGUGUAAUAAUUUAGAUACUACCUAUAGUCCAUCUCAUAAGAAUUGUCGCAUUAAAUGACUUUAACCUAAAUUUUAUAAGCUAGGAAAUAUACCAUGAGACCAUCUCAUGAAAGUCACCAAAUUAAUGAAUAUUUCACCUAACCCUAAUCUAGUGAGAUAAAUCUAGCCCUUUAUUUCUGACUUUUUGAUUUCUUUUAUGCAUUCAUUGUACAUUUGACAAUUCACCAUUUUAUCUACCAAUAGAUGUCUGUGAAGUACAUGAUACCGCGUUGAACAGCUAACGAGAAAAUCAACUCAAUUCAACAUAAAUGCAGAUGAUAUUUGUCACAUUAUUUUGGACAAUUGCUCUCGCUUACUGAUAGACUAACACAAAGCUUUUAACCUCACAUACAAUACGUUGUUUAGUUCCCAUAAGAUAAGAAAACACAAACACAUGCACACACAGAAAGUGGAAGACUGAAGUACCAUCUCCAUUGAACUGAUAUAUGAAGAUCUUUUAUUUAGUCUAAAUACUGAGGUUUUUGAAACAGAAAUGUAUGCUCAGCAUCCAAAUUGAUGCACGCUAGAAUAUCUAAGAAUUAGAGAAACAACAAUCAUCGCAAUGCAACAAGUCACAC
This 1384-nucleotide long non-coding RNA is filed under the name Olea europaea subsp. europaea. Lineage: Eukaryota; Viridiplantae; Streptophyta; Magnoliopsida; Lamiales; Oleaceae. The record is from RNAcentral.